CAUUUGAAGACUUUGCUGAGUUCUUAAAUAGCAACUUAUAAAAACUCUACAUGUAUGCUUUAAGAGUCAUCCUCUCAUCCUUUCAUCUAACAAGCAAUCACUCAAAUCUUGAGUGCCAAAUGAAGUAACUUUGAAGUCAGAUAGUUCAUCUUAUGGUCGGCCUUUUCUGUUCCAGCAGAACCUGCAAUAGCUUUCAUCUUCCUGGAAUUAAAAACGUCAGUUAUGACAUUUAUAAGACAGUAUACAGUCUGUGCAUCAAAAGUAAUUGCACCAUGUGGUGGUAUUGGUUUCAGUCCUGUGUGUUUGUCUGUCCGCAUAGCAACAAAAUUACUCCAAAAGACUUUUGAUCUGAUUUGGACCAGACUUGGUGGAUGAUUGAGAUUCAGCCUAUUACAAAGUAAUUAGAAUUUGGGGAACAUUGGAUAAAAGUCAAAGCCACAGGCCAAGGUCAUAACUGCAGAUAUUCACAAUGGCUGUUCUGAGGAAUUGGUUUUACAUUCAUCAGUGAACAUGGGAUUCCUGCAGACCUCAAGGGUAUAUUUUUUUAAAUGUAUUUUCUGAUUCGUUACAGUUACUCAGCUAAAAUUUAUGUAGUUACCACCUAUAUAGUUGUCUGCAAUUUCACUUCUUUUGAUAAUAUUUGACUAAAUACCGUGGGCUUCAUAACUUGUCAUACAGGGUCCACUUGGAUUCAAGUUUGGGAACUGGGUAGCCUCUGCAGCAAAAUUUAAUUUUAUCUGUAAUCUUUCCCUUGGCCACAUUACUUUUGACCUUGUGAAUCUGAAAUGUCAGAUUACUUUAGAAUACUUAUUCUGAGAAAUAGGUUAAAUGACUAUUUAAACAGCACGUUAAUUGUCAAAGCAUUUUACAGUGAUGCCUUAUUAUAUUUACCUAUUCACAUAAACUGAUGUCAGGAUGUGAUUCAAGGAGCUCAGCUGCACACUGGGAGAAACUUAUGAAUGAACUUGUAAGUGACGUUCUUGUCUGACCUGGAUUUGAACUGAGGAUCCUCUAGUUACAAGCCCAGUGUUUUAACCUCAAGAACAUC
Molecule: long non-coding RNA, 1048 nt
Organism: Thalassophryne amazonica
Lineage: Eukaryota; Metazoa; Chordata; Actinopteri; Batrachoidiformes; Batrachoididae
Exons: 3
Source: RefSeq, a predicted model, not a curated record